CACGCCAUAAACGAUGAGCACUAGGUGUCGGGGUUGUAAGACUUCGGUGCCGCAGUUAACGCAUUAAGUGCUCCGCCUGGGGAGUACGUGCGCAAGCAUGAAACUCAAAGGAAUUGACGGGGACCCGCACAAGCAGCGGAGCAUGUGGUUUAAUUCGAAGCAACGCGAAGAACCUUACCAGGGCUUGACAUCCCUCUGACCGGCGCGUAACGGUGCCUUCCCUUCGGGGCAGAGGAGACAGGUGG
RNAcentral lists this ribosomal RNA (245 nucleotides) under uncultured Anaerovorax sp. RNAcentral's name for it is "partial 16S ribosomal RNA". It matches the Rfam family "Bacterial small subunit ribosomal RNA", at positions 796 to 1041 of the family's 1533-position model. The record is from RNAcentral. Lineage: Bacteria; Bacillati; Bacillota; Clostridia; Peptostreptococcales; Anaerovoracaceae.